This is a long non-coding RNA of Arabidopsis thaliana (thale cress), 280 nucleotides long. RefSeq annotates it as other RNA. Lineage: Eukaryota; Viridiplantae; Streptophyta; Magnoliopsida; Brassicales; Brassicaceae. The transcript has a single exon. The record is from RefSeq.
CAUGUGGGCCGAAUCUAGAAGAGAGCAAAAGACUCGUGUGUGUUCGACUCUGAGUCUCUGACGCACUCAUUUGUACAAAAAGCUCUCAGACUACAAAACCAAAUCCUUUCCGUUGAGUUUCAAGCUCACUCUCUCUCUCUCCAUCUGUCUCCCUUUUCUGUUACAGCCGUUAGAUCUCUUUCAUAUCUCUACUCUUGAUCCGACGGCCAUUAUCUAUUGUAUCAUAUCUUGUAGUGCAUGAUUAAAAUGAUUCACCAUUGUGUCUAUUUCCGUGUGGAUC